CGUGAGCGGCGGACGGGUGAGUAACGCGUGGGUAACCUGCCUCAUACAGGGGGAUAACAGUUGGAAACGGCUGCUAAUACCGCAUAAGCGCACAGUACCGCAUGGUACGGUGUGAAAAACUCCGGUGGUAUGAGAUGGACCCGCGUCUGAUUAGGUAGUUGGUGGGGUAACGGCCUACCAAGCCGACGAUCAGUAGCCGACCUGAGAAGGUGACCGGCCACAUUGGGACUGAGACACGGCCCAA
This 244-nucleotide ribosomal RNA is filed under the name uncultured bacterium. Its description in RNAcentral is "partial 16S ribosomal RNA". It matches the Rfam family "Bacterial small subunit ribosomal RNA", at positions 90 to 334 of the family's 1533-position model. The record is from RNAcentral.